Molecule: ribosomal RNA, 591 nt
Filed under: Stefania ackawaio
Lineage: Eukaryota; Metazoa; Chordata; Amphibia; Anura; Hemiphractidae
Description: partial 16S ribosomal RNA
Rfam family: Bacterial large subunit ribosomal RNA
Source: RNAcentral
AAAAACAUCGCCUCUUGCUCACUUAUAAGAGGUCCAGCCUGCCCAGUGACCCAGUUCAACGGCCGCGGUAUCCUGACCGUGCAAAGGUAGCGUAAUCACUUGUCUUUUAAAUAGAGACUAGUAUGAAUGGCAUUUCGAGGGUUAUACUGUCUCCCUCCCCUAAUCAAUGAAACUAAUCUUCCCGUGAAGAAGCGGGAAUUUUCCUAUAAGACGAGAAGACCCUAUGGAGCUUUAGACAAAGUAAUAUUUACUACCACCAAACUCUUCCUCAAAGAAGAAAACUAACCUCCCCCCGUAGCAUUAUAAUUACUAGUUUUCGGUUGGGGCGACCACGGAGAAAAAAUAAACCUCCAUGUUGAACGGCACCUGCCUUAACAAAAAGCCACAACUUUAUGUAACAGCAAACUGACAUCAAUUGACCCAAUAUUUUGAUCAACGAACCAAGUUACCCUAGGGAUAACAGCGCAAUCCACUUCAAGAGUUCAUAUCGAAAAGUGGGCUUACGACCUCGAUGUUGGAUCAGGGUAUCCCAGUGGUGCAGCCGCUACUAACGGUUCGUUUGUUCAACGAUUAAAACCCUACRUGAUCUGA